UGCAGUCGAACGGUAACAGGAAGCAGCUUGCUUCUUUGCUGACGAGUGGCGGACGGGUGAGUAAUGUCUGGGAAACUGCCUGAUGGAGGGGGAUAACUACUGGAAACGGUAGCUAAUACCGCAUAACGUCGCAAGACCAAAGAGGGGGACCUUCGGGCCUCUUGCCAUCGGAUGUGCCCAGAUGGGAUUAGCUAGUAGGUGGGGUAACGGCUCACCUAGGCGACGAUCCCUAGCUGGUCUGAGAGGAUGACCAGCCACACUGGAACUGAGACACGGUCCAGACUCCUACGGGAGGCAGCAGUGGGGAAUAUUGCACAAUGGGCGCAAGCCUGAUGCAGCCAUGCCGCGUGUAUGAAGAAGGCCUUCGGGUUGUAAAGUACUUUCAGCGGGGAGGAAGGGAGUAAAGUUAAUACCUUUGCUCAUUGACGUUACCCGCAGAAGAAGCACCGGCUAACUCCGUGCCAGCAGCCGCGGUAAUACGGAGGGUGCAAGCGUUAAUCGGAAUUACUGGGCGUAAAGCGCACGCAGGCGGUUUGUUAAGUCAGAUGUGAAAUCCCCGGGCUCAACCUGGGAACUGCAUCUGAUACUGGCAAGCUUGAGUCUCGUAGAGGGGGGUAGAAUUCCAGGUGUAGCGGUGAAAUGCGUAGAGAUCUGGAGGAAUACCGGUGGCGAAGGCGGCCCCCUGGACGAAGACUGACGCUCAGGUGCGAAAGCGUGGGGGAGCAAACAGGAUUAGAUACCCUGGUAGUCCACGCCGUAAACGAUGUCGACUUGGAGGUUGUGCCCUUGAGGCGUGGCUUCCGGGAGCUAACGCGUUAAGUCGACCGCCUGGGGAGUACGGGCCGCAAGGUUAAAACUCAAUGAAUUGACGGGGGCCCGCACAAGCGG
RNAcentral lists this ribosomal RNA (888 nucleotides) under Escherichia coli. RNAcentral describes it as "bacterial SSU rRNA". It matches the Rfam family "Bacterial small subunit ribosomal RNA", at positions 56 to 932 of the family's 1533-position model. The record is from RNAcentral. Lineage: Bacteria; Pseudomonadati; Pseudomonadota; Gammaproteobacteria; Enterobacterales; Enterobacteriaceae.